This 198-nucleotide unclassified non-coding RNA is filed under the name uncultured Tomentella. Its description in RNAcentral is "sequence contains ITS1". Lineage: Eukaryota; Fungi; Basidiomycota; Agaricomycetes; Thelephorales; Thelephoraceae. The record is from RNAcentral.
CCGAACCGCCGACACGAGUUGUUGCUGGUCUCCAAACGGGGGCACGUGCACGCUCUGUUUGUGCAUCCACUCACACCUGUGCACCUUCUGUGGUUCUGUGGCCUGGGGGACUCGUCCUCCCGCCGUGGUUCUGCAUCUUUACACUCACGCUGUGAUAAAGUCUAAUGGAAUGCAUGCCGCGUUUAACGCAAUACAAUA